UGUAUGUCUACGUGUGUGUGCAUGUGCAUAUCUGUGCGUGUGUGUGUGUGUGUGCAUGUGCAUAUCUGUGCGUGUGUGUGCGUGUGUGUGCGUGUGUGUGCAUGUGCAUAU
RNAcentral lists this microRNA precursor (111 nucleotides) under Pteropus vampyrus (large flying fox). RNAcentral describes it as "miRNA (ENSPVAG00000025016.1)". Lineage: Eukaryota; Metazoa; Chordata; Mammalia; Chiroptera; Pteropodidae. The record is from RNAcentral.